CGGACGAGCUAGAGGUGGAGGCUCUGGAAGGGGCUCACCAUGAGAAAUCGAAGGAAGCCCUGGAAGGGGAGGAAACCUUGGUGCUGGUCAGUGGCGAACGGGUGAGUAACACGUGGGUAAUCUACCCCGAAGUGGGGAAUAACAGUUCGAAAGGACUGCUAAUACCGCAUGAGUUCUCGUGAGAGAAGAAAGGGGCGCAAGCCCCGCUUUGGGAGGAGCCUGCGGCCGAUUAGCUCGUUGGGGGGGUAACGGCUCACCAAGGCUGUGAUGGGUAGCUGGUCUGAGAGGAUGACCAGCCACACUGGGACUGAGACACGGCCCAGACUCCUACGGGAGGCAGCAGUGGG
RNAcentral lists this small RNA (347 nucleotides) under uncultured bacterium. RNAcentral describes it as "bacterial SSU rRNA". The stretch from base 82 to 342 matches the Rfam family "Bacterial small subunit ribosomal RNA", at positions 56 to 353 of the family's 1533-position model. The record is from RNAcentral.